Non-coding RNA from Callithrix jacchus (white-tufted-ear marmoset), 1082 nucleotides. NCBI's taxonomy places the organism in Eukaryota, Metazoa, Chordata, Mammalia, Primates, Cebidae. The record is from RefSeq and is a predicted model, not a curated record.
CGGGAAGCUGGGGAGAGCUGAUGAGGCGGGUGGUGAUUGGUCAGCCGGUUGCCGGGCGGGAGGUGGCUGCGGCCGGGCGGGAAGGCUAGAGCGCUGCCUAUUCCACUGAGAGCCACUUCCACCACUUAAUAGUCUCUGCAUUCACCAUCCUUCAAGUUCGUGUGACCUGAUGCUUCCUGGACUCCAGACAAGAAGCCAGGAAUGUGAUCCAGCUAAGGAAGCAGAUGAGAGAGACCAAGGAACAUGCUGGUGGAGCAGGUGUUGAAUUCCUUCCCUGCAUUUCUGCUCUUCCGCUCUUUAAUUGGCAUCUGGCCGGAUGUUCCUGAUUGCCGAGGCAACGCCUAAGGCUUAGCCGGCUUAACUGCAGGUCUGCACAAUAAUAAACUCUUCAGAAUUUCAGCACUAAUUUCUUCAUUAAGGGCCCCAGAAUUAUGGUUGCAUAUCACCUACUCAUUUCCUCUUGGUUCUACCUCACAUGCUUUCAUACUGUUGCUGACCAUCUGUACAUGUUACUCACCCCUUUCCUCCUUCCCUCUAUUCAAAUAAGCCAGGCUGGGUUAGCACUCCGGAUGCAUCCCUGUUGAUGGCUGGACAAAUAGUAUACAGUUUCCAGAAAGGGUGACAACUUUCCUUCCUGGAAUCCCUGCACAAAAUGCAGGGUCACAUAUGGCCCUGAGGAGGGAUUUGGUGGCAAAGAGAUAUCUGAGUUUCAUAGUUUGAAAGUACUACGCUGGCUGUGGUUCCAAGCUGUCUACCAGGUCACCCUGUGGUGGCAUAGUAAAUUCACAGGACUGUGGUUUAAAUUUUCCGAGGGAAAGAAGGGAUCUUCCGGAUCUGGUGAAUACUGCACAAACCCAGGGUUGUUCAUGGUUUCAGCAUUAGAUCACAUCAUACUCCUUUCAGUGAUGGCAUUAUUUGGGGGAAACCAUGUUUUUGGCAGUUACUGUGACAAAACGCAAGUGCCACAAGGAAAUCAGUGUGGAACAGGAAAUGAAAGUGUCAGUGCGCACUCUGAUUCUGAAGUUUAAGGAGUUGUACACCCCCCAAAAGCCACACGUCCCAUUAGUAAGUAAUUGCAUUGA